CGAGUUCCCGACCAUGGCGGACGUCCUCUCGAAGAUACCGAAGCGCUGCUUCGUGAAAGACACGGGCAAGUCGCUCCUGUACGCCGCGGUGUCCACGGCGAUCACGGUCGGGCUCGGGCUCGCCGCGUACGCGUACCUCCCGAUGACGCUCGCGUUCAUUCCCGCGUGGAUCGCGUACGCGUUCGUCGCGGGCACCGCGGCGACGGGGUGCUGGGUCGUCGCGCACGAGUGCGGCCACGGCGCGUUUUCAGAGAACAAAUUCGUGCAAGACGUCGUGGGAUACGUCCUGCACUCCGCGCUGCUCGUGCCGUACUUCUCGUGGCAGC
This 326-nucleotide long non-coding RNA is filed under the name Micromonas pusilla. RNAcentral describes it as "long non-coding RNA (MPUS_LNC000175)". The record is from RNAcentral. Lineage: Eukaryota; Viridiplantae; Chlorophyta; Mamiellophyceae; Mamiellales; Mamiellaceae.